This 253-nucleotide ribosomal RNA is filed under the name uncultured bacterium. RNAcentral describes it as "partial 16S ribosomal RNA". It matches the Rfam family "Bacterial small subunit ribosomal RNA", at positions 524 to 776 of the family's 1533-position model. The record is from RNAcentral.
UACGUAGGGUGCAAGCGUUGUCCGGAAUUAUUGGGCGUAAAGAGCUUGUAGGCGGUUUGUCGCGUCUGCUGUGAAAUUUCGGGGCUCAACCCCGAACUUGCAGUGGGUACGGGCAGACUAGAGUGUGGUAGGGGAGACUGGAAUUCCUGGUGUAGCGGUGAAAUGCGCAGAUAUCAGGAGGAACACCGAUGGCGAAGGCAGCUCGCUGGGACGUGACUGACGCUGAGGAGCGAAAGCGUGGGGAGCGAACAGG